Molecule: ribosomal RNA, 429 nt
Filed under: Chloroflexota bacterium
Lineage: Bacteria; Bacillati; Chloroflexota
Description: Chloroflexi bacterium partial 16S ribosomal RNA
Rfam family: Bacterial small subunit ribosomal RNA
Source: RNAcentral
UGGGGAAUAUUGCACAAUGGGCGCAAGCCUGAUGCAGCCAUGCCGCGUGUGUGAAGAAGGCCUUCGGGUUGUAAAGCACUUUCAGCGGGGAGGGAGGCGUUAAGGUUAAUAACCUUGGCGAUUGACGUUACCCGCAGAAGAAGCACCGGCUAACUCCGUGCCAGCAGCCGCGGUAAUACGGAGGGUGCAAGCGUUAAUCGGAAUUACUGGGCGUAAAGCGCACGCAGGCGGUCUGUCAAGUCGGAUGUGAAAUCCCCGGGCUCAACCUGGGAAAUGCAUUCGAAACUGGCAGGCUAGAGUAUUGUAGAGGGGGGUAGAAUUCGAGGUGUAGCGGUGAAAUGCGUAGAGAUAUGGAGGAAUACCGGUGGCGAAGGCGGCCCCCUGGACAAAGACUGACGCUAAGGUGCGAAAGCGUGGGGAGCAAACAGG